Molecule: ribosomal RNA, 497 nt
Filed under: uncultured bacterium
Lineage: Bacteria
Description: partial 16S ribosomal RNA
Rfam family: Bacterial small subunit ribosomal RNA
Source: RNAcentral
GAUGAACGCUGGCGGCGUGCCUAAUACAUGCCAGUCGAGCGAACAGAUAAGGAGCUUGCUCCUUUGACGUUAGCGGCGGACGGGUGAGUAACACGUGGGUAACCUACCUAUAAGACUGGAAUAACUCCGGGAAACCGGGGCUAAUGCCGGAUAACAUUUAGAACCGCAUGGUUCUAUAGUGAAAGAUGGUUUUGCUAUCACUUAUAGAUGGACCCGCGCCGUAUUAGCUAGUUGGUAAGGUAACGGCUUACCAAGGCAACGAUACGUAGCCGACCUGAGAGGGUGAUCGGCCACACUGGAACUGAGACACGGUCCAGACUCCUACGGGAGGCAGCAGUAGGGAAUCUUCCGCAAUGGGCGAAAGCUUGACGGAGCAACGCCGCGUGAGUGAUGAAGGUCUUCGGAUCGUAAAACUCUGUUAUUAGGGAAGAACAAAUGUGUAAGUAACUGUGCACGUCUUGACGGUACCUAAUCAGAAAGCCACGGCUAACUACGUG